UAAAAUUUGACCAAAAUCUGUACUAUAUUACAGGGACUUUCCCUCAGUAUUUGAUCAACUUUAAAAUUUGUAAAAAUCUAAUUUUAAGUAGAAUAAGCUCAAACUUUUCUAUUUGAAGAAAUUGCCCAUGCGCAAUGUUUUGAACUUCCUUCAACUACAGUCCCCACUGGUAAAUCCAAUGCACAGGCUGACAACUUAGAAUGUUUUGCAGAAAUGGCCUUUAAAAGAUGGAGAAUAACAAGUCACGCGUCUAUCACAUCCCAUUCUACUGGUGAUCAUUCUUCAUACGCAUAUCAGAAAAAUUAAUUGAAAUGGCAAAUCACCUCCUAACCAUUUUUGAUUUGGCCACACACACAUGCCCUGUAGUACAAUACUCACAAUAGUAAUUUUUACUGUGAGUGUGAGCCAGAUUAACCUACUGAUUGACUGAGAGGCCAAGAGAAGGCAAUGAAAUGGAAUAGUAAAUCAAGACACUCACCAACUUUCAAUUGUAGUUCAUGCCAAUAGUCAUUGGACCGACUUCCAUUUCCUUUUUAUGAUAUAAUAGUAAUAUACAUUACAUUCUGAUGUCCAUCAAGUAUUGUUCUAUUAUUAUGCCUAUGGCAAUCGACUAAUGAAAUUGCAGUAUUCUACGUAGCUACAUUAUUUUUUAUUAUACAUUCGUCUCAUUACUUAAAUGACAAUGUAAAUGUACCUUACUUUAAUUAAAAUACUGUUUAUAAUGUCUCUAUUAUUGUCUUAUGGUCUUUCUCUAUCUGUUCCUUCUCCUUUUUCUUGGUCUGUGGAAUUUUUGCUAUGCCUUGAAACUUUAUAAUCAAUGCACAAGAAGAUAUACAACAUUGUAAGUACAGUUAACCUUCAUUUAUGAUCAUGAUACAAAAUAGAAUGUUUAUGAAUUGAUUUAUAUAAUAUUAAAAGUAAAUAAAAAUGGAAAAGUAGCAGGAUUAAAUUGGAAAAAAGUAAAGAACAAAAGGGUACUUGCAAACUGGUGUGACAAGAAAUACUGCAUGAAUAUCUAUGGUUUUGCACAAGCUUACUUGACCACACCUCCUAAUUACCCCACCCAUCUCAUAAUUGCCACCAAAACUUGAAUUCUAGAUCUGUAAAGCUUCAUUUCCUGUUACAAAAAUUGGCAAUUUUUGUAAUAGGAAAUGAAGCUGCAGCAUGUUAUAAAAGCAGUAGCUGUACACAAAAACUCAUCACUGGUAGCCUACAGUAAAAGGAUUGUUCAGCAUUAGUUCUAUACAGCAAGUCAAGACAAGAUGGAUUCCUGCUCUUAUUUUAAGCUGAUAGGAUGCGUCAUUCUUAUUAGCAUUGCUACUGCACAGGAAACACAAAAAGCAUGUUGCCUUCCUCGUAAUUGUAAGGAAGCAUAUGAAAAUGGUAAAGUAUGCAGUGGAGUAUAUACUGUGAAACCUGAUGAACUACCAGCCUUUGACGUUUAUUGUGAUAUGAGUAAUAGAGGUGGCUGGA
Molecule: long non-coding RNA, 1473 nt
Organism: Amphimedon queenslandica
Lineage: Eukaryota; Metazoa; Porifera; Demospongiae; Haplosclerida; Niphatidae
Exons: 3
Source: RefSeq, a predicted model, not a curated record